AUAAAUUACGGAUGUGCGUCUUUACGUCAAGGUCGUGAUUCUACAUAACAACAUCCGCUUGACCUCGCAAUGCCAAGAAGAAGAAAGGCGUGGAACACAUGCUUAAGCGUCCCGCCUGUCAAGAUCUUCAGAUGAUGUUUGAGAAAAAAGUCAUCAUCCUCUUCGUCACUCUUCAUCCGUAUUUGGGGUAACAAACACCUGCUUCCCACAAGAGACUGGACCGCUGAAGUCAGGUGACCUGCACCUUCCUUGAACAUGUUGGUAACUUACUCUGUAUUUGUUCACGGUGGUCACCUCAGGGUCUCAGGACUCAAAACGAGUGCUCUAUGGAUUGAACAGAAAAUGUAGUAUUAACAAGUGUGGAUCAACACUCCAACCAUCUGCAUUAGGGACUGAAUAAAGGAUGCCCUCUGUAGCUGGGAAUGUUAGAUCAGCAACAUGAGCAACUGUGACCAUCGACAACAGGAAGUGGGCAUGUCCAGCUAUGCCACAACGUUGAGGAAAGUUCAACUUGAUGAAGGACUUUUGGGAGCAACUACCAAUGAGAGUGAAGCAGUGAAGCGGAUCAACAUUCCAUCCAUCUGCAUUAGGAUCUACCUUAGAGACACUCACUGGAGCUGUAAAGGGAAGCAGCAAUUUGGGACAUUCUUCCAGUUGUCGGCAACUUUGUGAAAAAGGCUGGAAACUAAAAUGCAGAAUUCUGGCCUGGUGUUUGGUCCGUGCUGUCUUUGGCUCUUGCAUCUCCAUCAUCCUGACCCUCUUUAGCAGCCUGUCCAUGUAUUUAUUUGGAGGCCACCAUGAGCACCCAUCUGCAUAAUAUGACUUUGUUACUCAGUUGUCCAUGCUCCUACAAAUUCUAAAUUUUUUGUAAAGCUGCAACAAGUUGAAACCCUAUAAUUAUUAACAUUUGAUUUUGAAUUAUGUAAUUCAAAUACAUGAAUAAGUAACAGAAAUAUAUAAAAGCAGAAAUAUAUUAAGACAUUACCUUUUUGUUGAUUGUUUACUGAUCUAUAAAUCCUUUUGCAUUCUCAUAAUUGAUCAUCAUAACUUGGUAUACAGUGGAUGUGUGGCUGUAGAUAACUUUCUGAAGUCAAUUUAAAAAGGCAAAAGUUAAUAAAUGCUAAAUUGGUCAAAUAUACAUUGUUGUAUUUUCACCAUUUUGAUCUUAUUUAGGCAUUUCAUAACUUGAGGGAAAUUUACGUAUACUGAUGUUUCAAAUCAAAUAUUAAUUUAUUAAUGACAGCUAAUCAUUUUAUAAAGAUUUUUUAUAACAAUGUUUAUUUAUAUAAUAUCAAUUUAAUACAUUUAUUUCGUUACCCCUACAUCACUGAGCGCAAGGGAGUGCAGCCAACAAAUACAUUCAGGUGUGUUUGACUUAACAUCGAGAUGCGCAGACAGCACGUGGUAUGACAUCAAGUACCGCGAGAGUUUGGGAAAGCCCCGGAAAAGGUUUGAACUCGCGGUACUUGAUGUCACGAUCGGUUUGCGAGUAGAUCAGCAUGAAGUCAAACACAUCUGAGAGAUGUGUGGGCUGCCUGCACUCAGCGUUGCGAUCAUUCAAUAGAGUGUAACCUCAAUCGGUUUUUGCAGCUUCUGGGUCUCGUGUAGAACGAUUUUUUGUUCUUUUCCAACUCGAUUUUUAACUCCCUAAACUAGUAGGAUGUUCCAACGGGUGAAGCAACAGUGCUGACGGCAGUUUCAGUGUCAAGUUUUCAUGCCAUGAUCACUGGGACGGAAACCAUUAUGACAUUGCCUUGGACAUCAAACUAAACCAUCUCAUUCUGGCUUUUGAGGUGGAUUCUAACCUCGAAAUCUCAGAAGGACAGGUCUAAGAUGGAUGCAGCCUCCAUAGGAUGCAACCUUGCAUUUGAGAAACACCCAUAGAACGGUCAACUUACCCCAUACUCUAACCUGAAUGCAGGGAUCAUAAAACUUUAUCUUUUACCUUAAUUGUUAGAUGGGUGUUGAUACCAAACUUUUUUUCUCGUCUACCCAGGAGAAAGUCAUGGGUUCUGCUGCUAAGGUUGUCAUAAUCGUCUUUUAUUCUGCUUACCUGACUCAUGCAGAAUUCUGGCUUGAUGUUUGGUCCACCUGUUAGCUGGCUCUGGUGCUUGGUAGUCUUCUCAAACCUCUGAAUCAAGACCACCAUGAGAGGCCUUCUGAAGACCAUCAUUACGGUUCAGAUCCAGUUGUCUUUACUAUGAGAUAGAACUGAACUGGAGUCUGUGAACUAAUGCUGUGUUCGAGACAACUUGGAUGUUGGAUAUUAUUGACCUCAAACCCGUAAGAAGUCUGGAACAGCAAACAAAAUCAUUUCUCUUUUUAAUGCAGAACUUAAGGAUGAACCACCCUGAUCUACUAAGAUGCACAGAUUCAACUCUGGCCCAGCAUCAUCCCCACACCUCAUCUGCCAUCAGUUUAAUUUAAUGUCUGUCAAUUGCAAAUGCUAUUUAUUUCAGUUAUAUAUUACAACUUAAUUUUAAUUGUGUAAAGCUGGGGUUUCCAAACUUUUCAUUUCAAAACCUAUUAGACAAGUGUAAUCUAUUCUAGACCCACUAAAAUAUUUUUAAAUAUACAUUUUUUUAAUGGGGUAAAACACAUUUGUUCUCUUUCAGUGGAGUCAUUUUAUUUUCAUAAUACUUCAUAAUGUAAAGCAGUGGUUCUUAACGUUAUUCCUCGAAGCCCAUUGCUCUGCACAUUUUGUAUGACUCUUUUAUCUGACAGACUCAGUUCAGUUCAUUGAGAUCUCUUCUAAUGAGCUGAUGAUUUGAAUCAGGUGUGUUAAAUAAGGGAGACAUACAAAAUGUGCAGGGCAGUCUGCCUCGAGGAAUAACGUUAAGAACCACUGAUGUAAAGUAAAUAUAAGUUUAUUUGCAAAACCAAAUAUUUUAUGGUAUAUUCUUUCAAAACCAUUGUCAUUGUUAAUUAUUAAUUUGGCCAAACUGUUGUUGCAUCAUUAAGGUGUGCAACACACCUUAACCUACUGUGUGACGGACAAGUGGGUCCUCCUGACACACAAUUUAAAAUCCUCUGGUGUACCGAAUGUUGUAUUGUAAUUAAAGUUGCAUCUCAGUCUUGUGUAACAGUCUCCAUUAUUUGUGAUUAUAUUCAUAGUGUCACAUGGUACUUUCAGCACUUACUACAUCACAGUGUUUUUAAUGCUUUCAUUUUUAGGUUUAUUAUAAAUUCAUUCAUUUUUAAAGAAUUCCUUCUUUAUGUAGAACAUGCAAAGUCUAAAAUGUAAAGUGUCAUGAUCAGCUCUGGGUCUUGUGCAGUGAUUAAAUGAGCAGGUAGUAAAUGUCAUAGCUUUGCAGUAUAUUGGGUAGGCUCUUGAUGUAAAGAACAUUCAGCACAUAGGUUUCAUAAAUUUAAUUUGGUAAACCAACUUGUCAGAACAAUUCAUGCUGUGAUGCUGGAUAAUACCUGGUCAAAUGAAUACAUGUAUAAUGUGUUUCGACAUUGUAUAAGGUUUCUUCAUCUAUACAGACAUCUGUUAGAGAACGGUGCAGAGACUGCUGUCCAUUAUUGGUUACAGUAUAUUUGUUAAAAUGUUGCCAGUAAGAAUAUUUCCGUGUACAAGGUACUUUCUUUGAGUACCUUUAUGUGUUUUAUUCUGCACUUAAAGCAUAAACGCAAUUUAAAUGCAGGAGUCCCCUCGUCCUUACUGCCAAAUAUGCAAGUGAAACUGGACUAAACGCAUACAGUAUACAUACGGGUAUGAUUUCAUUUUUCUAUAUUACACGUGAUAC
Molecule: non-coding RNA, 3749 nt
Organism: Misgurnus anguillicaudatus (oriental weatherfish)
Lineage: Eukaryota; Metazoa; Chordata; Actinopteri; Cypriniformes; Cobitidae
Source: RefSeq, a predicted model, not a curated record